UGGGAUGUAGCCAAGCGGUAAGGCACGGGACUUUGACUCCCGCAUUCGUCGGUUCAAAUCCGGCCGUCCCAGCCA
RNAcentral lists this transfer RNA (75 nucleotides) under Clostridiales bacterium. RNAcentral describes it as "tRNA-Gln". It matches the Rfam family "tRNA". From Rfam's summary of the family: Transfer RNA (tRNA) molecules are approximately 80 nucleotides in length. Their secondary structure includes four short double-helical elements and three loops (D, anti-codon, and T loops). The record is from RNAcentral. RNAcentral also lists the same sequence under 1 other name. Lineage: Bacteria; Bacillati; Bacillota; Clostridia; Eubacteriales.